CGGGGUGAGUAACGCGUGGGCAACCUACCGUAUACAGGGGGAUAACACUUAGAAAUAGGUGCUAAUACCGCAUAAGCGCACAGCAGUGCAUACUGGAGUGUGAAAAGCCGAGACGGUAUACGAUGGGCCCGCGUCUGAUUAGCCAGUUGGCAGGGUAACGGCCUACCAAAGCGACGAUCAGUAGCCGGCCUGAGAGGGCGGACGGCCACAUUGGGACUGAGACACGGCCCAGACUCCUACGGGAGGCAGCAG
RNAcentral lists this ribosomal RNA (252 nucleotides) under uncultured bacterium. RNAcentral's name for it is "partial 16S ribosomal RNA". It matches the Rfam family "Bacterial small subunit ribosomal RNA", at positions 100 to 354 of the family's 1533-position model. The record is from RNAcentral.